This 568-nucleotide long non-coding RNA is filed under the name Apteryx owenii (little spotted kiwi). Its description in RNAcentral is "lncRNA (ENSAOWG00000015539.1)". Lineage: Eukaryota; Metazoa; Chordata; Aves; Apterygiformes; Apterygidae. The record is from RNAcentral.
AUUUUUCAGUGUGUUUAUCCACAUACAUUAAAUGGAAUACUGCUAGAUGUUAAUAGUCUAACGUUCUUAUUUAUCAGCAGUCACUCUCACUGAUUUGACUUGGGAGAGGAUACUGCAGCAGGGACAUAUUCCUUGUAGUGGAGAAGAACAUACAUUUUGGUAACCUGGAAAAUCAGAGUAUAGGAAAAGGAAAGUUACAUUUAUUUGAAGGAUGUUCUACCAAAAAUGCUGAAGAUUGUCUUUCAGGAGCCUACAGCUUUGCUUUUAGCCUUGAAGAAAGAAAGGAGUUCUGCAGGGUUGCGGUGAACAGCAUCCUACUCGGCAGGUCCUGUUGUGCAGUAGAGCUUUUCCAUGACUGUUGCUGACAUAGCCUGCUCAGGCAUGUGUAACAGCUGAGUGUACAUAGUCACUUACUCCUACAUAAGAAAGUGGAAUCAGCUGCCUUGUUACAAGUCAUAUUAUAGAUGGCAAAUCUGAGGGAUAAGCAUUGUCUUUUUAUUCUGUAUUCAUGCAGUACUUAGCACAGUGGUGUCUUGUUCAAUAAAGAAAGAUCCUAAGUGAUUCCUCA